AAGAACAGACAAGCAGAAAACAAGAAGCUGACCCAACAGGAAGUCUCCUGAUCUUGCCCAGUUUCCAGACCGAAGUCAUUUCUCAGUUACAGCAUCUACAGACAGAGAGUCCAGAGCCCCAUGAAGAAAGACUCUACCACAGUGUGUACGGUAAUUCUCCCUCCGACCUUCCUUAAAGGGACCUCCAGAAAUUACUCAGGGUCGUACUUCAAAGUCAUACUUCUUACCCUUCUCUAAUUUGAAGAAAGCUUGGGCUAAAGGUUGCACAUCUUCCACUGGCAACUUAUAAACCAUCAGAGAGGAGUACCUGAGAGAAAAGGAGAGGUUUUCCUUUUGAAUGACUAUCACUCAACAUAACUGACAAGUAACAGUGAACAUUUGGUACCAUUUCCAAAACAGCAACCAUGUUUAC
Molecule: long non-coding RNA, 412 nt
Filed under: Homo sapiens (human)
Lineage: Eukaryota; Metazoa; Chordata; Mammalia; Primates; Hominidae
Description: HSALNT0391255
Source: RNAcentral